CCUACGGGUGGCAGCAGUGAGGAAUAUUGGUCAAUGGGCGGGAGCCUGAACCAGCCAAGCCGCGUGAGGGAAGAAGGUACAGCGUAUCGUAAACCUCUUUUGUCAGGGAACAAAGGCGGGGACUAGUCCCCGGAUGCGGGUACCUGAAGAAAAAGCAUCGGCUAACUCCGUGCCAGCAGCCGCGGUAAUACGGAGGAUGCGAGCGUUAUCCGGAUUUAUUGGGUUUAAAGGGUGCGCAGGCGGCCUGUUAAGUCAGCGGUAACAGCCCGGGGCUCAACCCCGGCGAGCCGUUGAAACUGGCGGGCUGGAGUUGGAGAGAAGUACGCGGAAUGCGCGGUGUAGCGGUGAAAUGCUUAGAUAUCGCGCAGAACCCCGAUUGCGAAGGCAGCGGACCGGCUCCACACUGACGCUGAGGCACGAAAGCGUGGGUAUCGAACAGGAUUAGAUACCCCAGUAGUC
RNAcentral lists this ribosomal RNA (459 nucleotides) under uncultured bacterium. RNAcentral describes it as "partial 16S ribosomal RNA". It matches the Rfam family "Bacterial small subunit ribosomal RNA", at positions 338 to 795 of the family's 1533-position model. The record is from RNAcentral.